UGGACACCACCGCAGAAAAAUGGCGUGUGAACGCCUCUACAUUGCCCAGAAAGGCCAAGGUCGUCAUUUUUAAAGCAAAUUAGGGGUCAGACCCCCAGCCCUGCUGUCUCUUCUGUGCCUGAUGUCCUUGUUACAUGUGUGUCUGCCACGUCCCCAUGUAUGGGAUGUGGUUAUGAACACGUGUCCCAUGCACAGAGCCCUGUCAUGAACACGUGUGCCCGCUGUGGAACUGCACAGCUAAAGAGCUCAGUAACCAAGGACCGUGCUUAGAGAAAACCACCACUGGACAGCUGCUUCUCGGGCCACAGGCAGGGCUGGGCAGUGAGUGGCUGCUUGGGGCCGGU
This 344-nucleotide long non-coding RNA is filed under the name Homo sapiens (human). RNAcentral describes it as "non-protein coding lnc-TUBGCP3-15:1". Lineage: Eukaryota; Metazoa; Chordata; Mammalia; Primates; Hominidae. The record is from RNAcentral.